CGCGUAGGCGGCCAGAUAAGUCCGGUGUGAAAGUCAAAGGCUCAACCUUUGAAUGCCGCUGGAAACUGUCUGGCUAGAGUCCGGGAGGGGCGAGUGGAAUUCCUGGUGUAGCGGUGAAAUGCGCAGAUAUCAGGAGGAACACCAAUGGCGAAGGCAGCUCGCUGGAACGGUACUGACGCUGAGGCGCGAAAGCGUGGGGAGCGAACA
Molecule: ribosomal RNA, 207 nt
Filed under: uncultured bacterium
Lineage: Bacteria
Description: partial 16S ribosomal RNA
Rfam family: Bacterial small subunit ribosomal RNA
Source: RNAcentral